RNAcentral lists this ribosomal RNA (1136 nucleotides) under Heyndrickxia coagulans. Its description in RNAcentral is "bacterial SSU rRNA". It matches the Rfam family "Bacterial small subunit ribosomal RNA", at positions 34 to 1152 of the family's 1533-position model. The record is from RNAcentral. Lineage: Bacteria; Bacillati; Bacillota; Bacilli; Caryophanales; Bacillaceae.
CGCAAGGGGGGGUGCUAUACAUGCAGUCGUGCGGACCUUUUAAAAGCUUGCUUUUAAAAGGUUAGCGGCGGACGGGUGAGUAACACGUGGGCAACCUGCCUGUAAGAUCGGGAUAACGCCGGGAAACCGGGGCUAAUACCGGAUAGUUUUUUCCUCCGCAUGGAGGAAAAAGGAAAGACGGCUUCGGCUGUCACUUACAGAUGGGCCCGCGGCGCAUUAGCUAGUUGGUGGGGUAACGGCUCACCAAGGCAACGAUGCGUAGCCGACCUGAGAGGGUGAUCGGCCACAUUGGGACUGAGACACGGCCCAAACUCCUACGGGAGGCAGCAGUAGGGAAUCUUCCGCAAUGGACGAAAGUCUGACGGAGCAACGCCGCGUGAGUGAAGAAGGCCUUCGGGUCGUAAAACUCUGUUGCCGGGGAAGAACAAGUGCCGUUCGAACAGGGCGGCGCCUUGACGGUACCCGGCCAGAAAGCCACGGCUAACUACGUGCCAGCAGCCGCGGUAAUACGUAGGUGGCAAGCGUUGUCCGGAAUUAUUGGGCGUAAAGCGCGCGCAGGCGGCUUCUUAAGUCUGAUGUGAAAUCUUGCGGCUCAACCGCAAGCGGUCAUUGGAAACUGGGAGGCUUGAGUGCAGAAGAGGAGAGUGGAAUUCCACGUGUAGCGGUGAAAUGCGUAGAGAUGUGGAGGAACACCAGUGGCGAAGGCGGCUCUCUGGUCUGUAACUGACGCUGAGGCGCGAAAGCGUGGGGAGCAAACAGGAUUAGAUACCCUGGUAGUCCACGCCGUAAACGAUGAGUGCUAAGUGUUAGAGGGUUUCCGCCCUUUAGUGCUGCAGCUAACGCAUUAAGCACUCCGCCUGGGGAGUACGGCCGCAAGGCUGAAACUCAAAGGAAUUGACGGGGGCCCGCACAAGCGGUGGAGCAUGUGGUUUAAUUCGAAGCAACGCGAAGAACCUUACCAGGUCUUGACAUCCUCUGAUCCUCCCUGGAGACAGGGCUUCUCCUUCGGGGGACAGAGUGACAGGUGGUGCAUGGUUGUCGUCAGCUCGUGUCGUGAGAUGUUGGGUUAAGUCCCGCACGAGCGCAACCCUUGACCUUAGUUGCCAGCAUUCAGUUGGGCACUCUAAGGGGACUGC